AGCGAACGCUGGCGGCAGGCUUAACACAUGCAAGUCGAGCGCCGUAGCAAUACGGAGCGGCAGACGGGUGAGUAACGCGUGGGAACGUGCCUUCUGGUUCGGAAUAGCUCAGGGAAACUUGAGCUAAUACCGGAUAAGCCCUUCGGGGGAAAGAUUUAUCGCCGGAAGAUCGGCCCGCGUAAGAUUAGCUAGUUGGUGAGGUAAUGGCUCACCAAGGCUACGAUCUUUAGCUGGUCUGAGAGGAUGAUCAGCCACACUGGGACUGAGACACGGCCCAGACUCCUACGGGAGGCAGCAGUGGGGAAUAUUGGACAAUGGGCGCAAGCCUGAUCCAGCCAUGCCGCGUGAGUGAUGAAGGCCUUAGGGUUGUAAAGCUCUUUUAGCAGGGACGAUAAUGACGGUACCUGCAGAAAAAGCCCCGGCCAACUUCGUGCCAGCCGCCGCCGUAA
This 449-nucleotide ribosomal RNA is filed under the name uncultured bacterium. RNAcentral describes it as "partial 16S ribosomal RNA". It matches the Rfam family "Bacterial small subunit ribosomal RNA", at positions 29 to 523 of the family's 1533-position model. The record is from RNAcentral.